This 1502-nucleotide long non-coding RNA is filed under the name Oryctolagus cuniculus (rabbit). RNAcentral's name for it is "lncRNA (ENSOCUG00000036247.1)". The record is from RNAcentral. Lineage: Eukaryota; Metazoa; Chordata; Mammalia; Lagomorpha; Leporidae.
UGCCGGCCGCCUGGCCACUGCUCUGCCGCGCUGUGAUGGCUCUUCAAAGAGAUUUAUGUAUGUUUUUAAAAGAAUUAUUUAUGUAUUUGAAAGUCAGAGUUACGCAGAGGGAGGGAGGGAGAGAGAGAGAGAGAGAGAGAGAGAUGUCUUCCACCCGCUGGUUCACUCCCCAAUUGGUUGCAAUGGCUGGAGCUGCUCCGAUCUGAAGCCAGGAGCCAGGAGCUUCUUCCAGGUCUCCCUCUCGGGUCCAGGAGCCCAAGGACUUGGGCCAUUUUCUACUGCUUUCCCAGGCCAGAGCAGAGACCUGGAUCUGAAGUGGAGCAGCUGGGUCUCAAACCUGCGCCCAGAUAGGAUGCCAGCGCUUCAGGCCAAGGCGUUAACCCACUGCACCACAGCACCAGCCCCAAGAUUUAUGUAUUUUGAAAAGCAUGAGCCGCGGCGCCGGCCAACUGCUGUCUUUCUAGAGUUGGGCUUCGGGCAGGUUCUGCGACAGCGUCUCUGAAGUCCCCGUUCCCAUCCCAGAGUCGGGCUUCUCGAAGGUUCUGCCCCAGUAUCCUUGAAGUCCUUUGGUUUCCCAGUGAUUUGUUAUCGGUGCCUUCUUCUUUCUUCUUUCUUCUUUCUUCUUUCUUCUUUCUUCUUUCUUCUUUCUUCUUCUUCUUCUUCAUUUAUUUGAAAGUCAGAGUUACACAGUUUCAAAGAGAGAGAAGGAGAGGCACAGAGCGAGAGAGGUCUUCCAUCCGCUGGUUCACUCCCCAUUUCGCCAUAACGGCCGGAGCUGAGCCGAUCCGAAGCCAGGAGUCCAGAGCUUCUUCCAGGUCUCCCACGUGGGUGCGGGACACAAGGACUUGGGUCAUCUUCCACUGCUUUCCCAGACCAUAGCAGAGAGCUGGAUCAGAAGUGGAACAGCUGGGACUCAAACCAGCACCCGUAUGGGAUGCUGGCACCACAAGCAGCGGCUUAACCCACUACGCCACAGCGCCAGUCCCGGUGCCUUCUAUAAAGAAGGAUGACAGAUGCUCCGUAAAUUGAUCUGAUCUGUGUGAAGUUUGAUCACACGUUUGGUGGUGCCUUCCUGUAAAACCCCAGAAAGAAGGGCUUGAGACAGCGCGCUUGGCUCCCCCUCCCGCAGACAGUGUUGCCGCGAAACGAUGGAGCUGCUGCCGUUUCGCCAGGACCCACUCUGGGCAGCAAGGAGAGGAGUGUGCGCCUCAUCUGCAGGACAGGCGUGCGUGUGAGGCGUGAGCCUGCGGGAACCCGCCCACUGACGGGGUUUCGCUACGUUGGCAGCUGGAGCUACGUGGUCGGAAGAUAGCACUUUCCCCUGCCGUGGGAGUCGUGGCCGGGGACACGGGUGCCUGGAGCUGGGCUGGUGUGUGCACGGGUCCUGGGUUCAGAGGGUGUGUGCUGGGGUUCUGGGAAGGCGAGCUUCACUUCGUCAUUUUCAUCAGUAGUUAAAAGGGAAGUGUAAGGGUAUUAUGAUAAGGAUUAUGGUGAUAAGGAUA